This 253-nucleotide ribosomal RNA is filed under the name uncultured bacterium. RNAcentral describes it as "partial 16S ribosomal RNA". It matches the Rfam family "Bacterial small subunit ribosomal RNA", at positions 524 to 776 of the family's 1533-position model. The record is from RNAcentral.
UACGUAGGUGACAAGCGUUGUCCGGAUUUACUGGGCGUAAAGAGCGCGUAGGCUGCGGGGCAAGUCGGGUGUGAAAUCUCAGAGCUCAACUCUGAAACUGCACUCGAUACUGCUUUGCUUGAGGACUGGAGAGGAGAUUGGAAUUCACGGUGUAGCAGUGAAAUGCGUAGAUAUCGUGAGGAAGACCAGUGGCGAAGGCGGAUCUCUGGACAGUUCCUGACGCUGAGGCGCGAAGGCCAGGGGAGCAAACGGG